This 506-nucleotide ribosomal RNA is filed under the name uncultured bacterium. RNAcentral's name for it is "bacterial SSU rRNA". It matches the Rfam family "Bacterial small subunit ribosomal RNA", at positions 29 to 507 of the family's 1533-position model. The record is from RNAcentral.
AUGAACGCUAGCGACAGGCCUAACACAUGCAAGUCGAGGGGCAACGGGGCGUAGCAAUACGCUGCCGGCGACCGGCGGAUGGGUGAGUAACGCGUAUGCAACCUGCCUUCAGGCAGGGGGAUAGCCCGUUGAAAGACGGAUUAAUACCCCAUAACACAGGGGCUCCGCAUGGAGAUUAUUGUUAAAGGGAUGCUUCCUUCGGGGGUAUUCCGGCUGAAGAUGGGCAUGCGUUCCAUUAGGUAGUUGGUUGAGGUAACGGCUCACCAAGCCUGCGAUGGAUAGGGGAACUGAGAGGUUGGUCCCCCACACUGGUACUGAGACACGGACCAGACUCCUACGGGAGGCAGCAGUGAGGAAUCUUGGUCAAUGGACGGAAGUCUGAACCAGCCAUGUCGCGUGAAGGAGGACGGCCCUAAGGGUUGUAAACUUCUUUUGCAGCGGAAUAAAGUAUUCCACGUGAUGGGAUAUUGCAAGUACGCUGCGAAUAAGGAUCGGCUAACUCCGUG